Molecule: long non-coding RNA, 2960 nt
Organism: Syngnathoides biaculeatus (alligator pipefish)
Lineage: Eukaryota; Metazoa; Chordata; Actinopteri; Syngnathiformes; Syngnathidae
Exons: 3
Source: RefSeq, a predicted model, not a curated record
UUGAUGGCAAAAUACAUUAAAAGGCAUCCAAUGUAGUAUUAAUACACAGUAUUGUCAAGUAUUACUAUGUAGAUAUAAAAUAAUAUUGUAUUGAGAAUUUUCCUUCUCCAGUUAUUUUGCAAUAAACCAAAAAAACGUAUCACUUUUGUACAGAAUGGGAGGCAGACUUUUUUUUUUUUUCACGAUAUCAUUUUCGAAGUGCAUUUGCCUCAUGUGCCAGUGUACUAUUGUAAUACGAAAAGAAGUGAAAUAUGUAGCGGCAUUUUCAAACUGUUCAUGGAAAAUACGACACUGAUUUUCAGCCGAAAAGCAAGCUGAGAAUGAAAAAAGUGAACAAAAUAAAAUCCAAAUUGGUCGAUCAGCAGUCAUUUUUCACAUAAUAUAGUUCAACAGUGAAAGCCGCCACGGAUGCAUCGUUCCCAGUUAGUCACAUAAUCGUUAAUAACAAAAAGUCCUUCCAAGACGGAGAAAUGGAAAAAGAGGCUUUCAUUGAAGCAGCUGACUCAUUGUUCUGAUCUUUUAAAAAUAGGGGGGAAAAUAUCUUCAAAAAAAGCUCUGCAGCUGUAAAGGAGUACAGUUACACGGUGCUGCGAAGCCAUGGCUGAUGUGUGGAAGGACAUCACAGAUAGUGUUUCUCACUGCAAUUGGACGAAUCCACUGACGUGAGUGACACAGCCCAGGGUCGCAGGGUGUGCCGGAACCUAUUCCAGAUGACUCCGGGGGAAGAGGCGAUCAGUGAACACCCUGAACUGAUUGCCAGCCAAUCGCAAGUCAAUUAACCUAGAGUGGAUGUUUUGGGGAUAUGGGAGGAAACCGGAGUACCUGAAGAAAACCCACAUAAAAUAUGCAACAUGCUUUCCUCCAGUGGCUGUGUCACCUGGGGUGUUGUUGCCAUACAGUGGUGCUGAUGAAUGACUGCGAUCACCCCCAUGAAACACACCAACCGGAGACAAAAAUAGCAGAUGCCAGUACCUCAGGUGUGUAACUCAAAAACCUUUUUAAUUGAUUUUUUUUUAAUUAAAUGGACCAUCUUGAGAAUUCAGUUUUUGCAAAUUACCUGCCAGACACAUUAUAUCAUUUUUCUAUUGUAUUUUAUAAUUGUGUAAAGAUGAAAAAUGGGGGGGGGGGUUCAAAGUUGUGUAUCACGUCCAGAUAAAUGGUGAGUUGUCAUUUGUCUCACAUUCAUUUUCAAACCCAAAUGCUUUGAGUUUACGAGGACAUGAUGCGCCAAUGCUUAUGCUUCGAUUUUUCUAGCGUCAUUUCUGUCAACACUAACGUCGCAAAAAUAACAGGUCUGUUCCUAUUGAACAAGUUUCCCCGUUAUUAGCACGACGUGAGCUGAAAAGAUGUGAGGGAUUUAAAGCAUUAAAAUUCAGACUGGGAGGUUUUCCGUGCCCUGCCUUUCAUUUUCUAUAGCGUUCGUCCUCAUUAGGAUGACGGGUCAGCUCGAGUUUAUGCUAGCUGACUUUGGGCAUGAGGUGGGAUAAACCCUGGACUGGUCGCUGCUCAAUUGUAAUACGCAUACGGUAUAAUCAAACAACCAUCCACGCUCACAAUUAUGGGCAAUGUAGAAACUUGAAAAAGCAAGCAAGUCACCCAGUAAUGUAGACCAUCGCCUAAAUAGGAUUGCGGGCCAAAUUAAACGCCAGCGUGUUAAACAGGGAGGACCAAUCGGCUCCCGGCACACAAGCCGGCGCGCUGAUGGACGGAUUCAUUUGCGGCAGGUACCCCAAAUUGAAGGCUGCUGUAAAUGGCCUAUCAGAGAUUGUUCAUGUGCAAAAUAAGGCCGAUCCAAUCUCAUCGACCGUUUCUUUCCCACCAACAUCCGCAACUGAAAAAAAAGGACCACAGUUCAUCCUCUGGAGUUUUCAACCUUCCUUCUAAUUUGUAUAUUUGAGGAACAUUACACGUAAGGAAACAGCGGGGCUGCCGCUUUAUGACACCACGGCGCCCGAGCACAAUCAGAGGGAGCCAUCAAAGACAAACAGAGGCGACGAGACCGAGAAACCAAAAAACUGUGGAGGAGAGCCGGUGCAUAAUGAGCAAAGACACUUAAAAGCUCGCUAAAGAUCAUUACUGGGACGAUCAAACGCAUGUGAGACAAUUUCUCCACGCAGGGUUGGGUAAUUAUGAAGCAUCGUCUAUAACAAUAUACAUUUACAUUCAUUUGCAUGGUUCCCAUUACCUGCAACCUAUCAGUGUGGUGGUAGAUGCGCCGAAAAUAAGAUCCCUGGGGAACUUCUGGAAUAGUUCAAGGUAUGUUUACACUUGAUAAAAAUAGAAGAGAGCCUUGACCUCGUGUUGGCAAUGUAGUGAAGCAUAUAGAGGUUAGUGGCAACCAAUCACUCACGUACUUUACAAAUCUGUUUCUAUACAUUAAAAUGCACUGUUUAAAGGGCUCCUGUCAUGAAAUGGAUGAUUUUUAGUACAUUAAUGAAAAACCAUCACCCAAUAUGGGCUCAUGCAUUUUUUUCAUGAAAAUCCUCUGGAGGGAUUUGUUUUCGAGAAGAAGCAGGAAGUGAUGUAAUGGACAGCAGCGCCCCCAAGUGGACUCGUUUGUUUCCAUUAGUUUUACCUCCGGGAAGGUAGCUCGUUGUUCUUUCGUGUGAGCCAAAAUGCCGGCUCAUUGCAUUGCUGGACAUUGCUUGAACACUAGGGAGAAUGGAUUUAGCUUUCAUAAGUUUGCAAGAGACCCGGUUUGUUGUGAAAAAUGGAUUGCACGGGUGCAGAGGACAAGAGCUUCGUGGGUUCCAAAUAACAGGUAGGUGUGUAUACAGCUACUAAAUAAAAAAUAAUACUUUGGGGCGGACCACGUAAUCGGUCUCUCAUAACGUAACAAAAGAAAAAUGUACGUACGAAAUAUUUCAAUGUGCGCCUUGGACGGCGUCGGGGUGCUGCGCGAACGUCUGCGAAUCUAAAGAACCCACCCGAGAAUGCCUCACUCAGCCGCGUUCGCGCAG